This 85-nucleotide small nucleolar RNA is filed under the name Leersia perrieri. RNAcentral describes it as "snoRNA snoR16". It matches the Rfam family "Small nucleolar RNA R16". From Rfam's summary of the family: snoR16 is a member of the C/D class of snoRNA which contain the C (UGAUGA) and D (CUGA) box motifs. Lineage: Eukaryota; Viridiplantae; Streptophyta; Magnoliopsida; Poales; Poaceae. The record is from Rfam by way of RNAcentral.
GGUGGCAUAUGAUGCAUACAUAAUCUUAUCCUACACACUGAAUGCAAUGUGUGGACCAAUACUCCGCUUAUUAUCUGAUGCCACA